Molecule: transfer RNA, 65 nt
Filed under: Gryllotalpa henana
Lineage: Eukaryota; Metazoa; Arthropoda; Insecta; Orthoptera; Gryllotalpidae
Description: tRNA-Glu
Source: RNAcentral
AUUUAUAUAGUUUACAAAAAAACAAUACAUUUUCAUUGUAUAGAUAAUAUCCUUAUUUAUAAAUA